RNAcentral lists this long non-coding RNA (347 nucleotides) under Mytilus galloprovincialis (Mediterranean mussel). Lineage: Eukaryota; Metazoa; Mollusca; Bivalvia; Mytilida; Mytilidae. The record is from RNAcentral.
GGUUAAUCUGUUGUCCUGCAUUCCCGUUUUUUUAUCCAAAUGGACGAUAUUUUUUUAUUAUCUAUGAAACAAGAAAAUACCAAAUGAUCAUUUAAUUAUCGACUCCUAGGAGUCGAUAUUAAGAAUUGAACGAUGGACAGUUAGUGCGUGAAUUUUUCUUGCUACCUGAUGGGAAGAUAUUACGAGACGUGAAUAAUCAAAGUUUAUUGGUUGGUUAGAACAAUACAAACCUAGUAAAUGUCCUUCAAUCCCGUAGAGUAUCGGAUUUGUCCUUUCUAUUUUAGCAAUUAGAUUUUGCCUGGUCAUUAAUCAUGCAUAUUCAUGAUAUUGGUACACAGGUAACUUCU